This 687-nucleotide long non-coding RNA is filed under the name Anser brachyrhynchus (Pink-footed goose). RNAcentral describes it as "lncRNA (ENSABRG00000003262.1)". Lineage: Eukaryota; Metazoa; Chordata; Aves; Anseriformes; Anatidae. The record is from RNAcentral.
GGGGGAGGAGGUAGAAGAGGUUGGAUGAGGAGAAGGUUAUAGCUUGUUUGAUUUUAUUCUUUCUCUCUGCUUUAGCUUGUUAGUAAUAGGUGAUACAUUUCAUUAAUCUCUCAGUGCUGUGUCUGUUUUGUCCAUGAUGAUAAUUGUUGAGUGAUCUCCCUGUCCUCAUCUCAACCCUUGAGCCCCUUUCCAUCAUAUUUUCUCUCCCUUUUCCUCUGAGGUGGAGGAGACUCUGAGAGAGCAGUUGUGGUGGUGUUCAGCUGCCCAGCAGGGGUGGAUGCCAAAAUCCCUAUAACAGGAUAUCUUCUGCCAACUGAGAUAUUCCAUUUGAGGAAGCAAUUUGAGACUCAUACUGCUCACAGGGCAGACAGUCCACCAGGAGGUGAGAUCUCUAAAUACAACAUGUUUGGAGAUGAGACGUUUCACCAGGCAAGUAUAGCCACAUGUAUAAUGUGUUUCUAAUGAUAAUAGCAUUAAAGAUAUAAUAGACUAUGUUCUACUGUCAGGGAUACCAUGGAACUACAUUUGAAGAGUCCACAAAUCUUUGUCUAAAGAGAAAGGCAAAAAAGUGAAGGAAAGGAGAAAGGAGUAGGGAGGAAAGGACCAUGAAAGAGAAAGGGAGAGAUACAAGAAGGAAGGGAGGGAGGAGAAAGAAAAGGAAAGAAAACGAAAGAAAAGGAAAGAAAA